RNAcentral lists this ribosomal RNA (586 nucleotides) under uncultured bacterium. RNAcentral's name for it is "bacterial SSU rRNA". It matches the Rfam family "Bacterial small subunit ribosomal RNA", at positions 162 to 766 of the family's 1533-position model. The record is from RNAcentral.
GCUAAUACCGCAUAAGACCACGGACUGGGAUGUCUGUGGUAAAGGGAGCAAUUCACUUGAGGAUGGGCCUGCGGCCUAUCAGGUAGUUGGUAAGGUAAUGGCUUACCAAGCCUAAGACGGGUAGCCGGACUGAGAGGUUGAACGGCCACACUGGAACUGAGACACGGUCCAGACUCCUACGGGAGGCAGCAGUGGGGAAUUUUGCGCAAUGGGGGAAACCCUGACGCAGCGACGCCGCGUGGAGGAUGAAGGUCUUCGGAUUGUAAACUCCUUUUGUCGGGGAAGAUAAUGACGGUACCCGAUGAAUAAGCCACGGCUAACUCUGUGCCAGCAGCCGCGGUAAGACAGAGGUGGCAAGCGUUGUUCGGAAUUACUGGGCUUAAAGGGCGCGUAGGCGGUGGAGUAAGUCUGAGGUGGAAGAUUAGGGCUUAACCCUAAAAUUGCCUUGGAAACUGCAUCACUUGAGUCAGCGAGGGGAUGGCGGAAUUCCAGGUGUAGCGGUGAAAUGCGUAGAUAUCUGGAGGAAGGCCGGUGGCGAAGGCGGCCAUCUGGCGCUGAACUGACGCUGAGGCGCGAAAGCGUGGGG